RNAcentral lists this long non-coding RNA (1801 nucleotides) under Homo sapiens (human). Its description in RNAcentral is "non-protein coding lnc-GALC-8:6". The record is from RNAcentral. Lineage: Eukaryota; Metazoa; Chordata; Mammalia; Primates; Hominidae.
ACUCCCUAGAGAAGCUGGGAUCGACUAGGAAACCGCAGGCAGCGGCUCCCGGGGGCGAGAGCUUUGUUCACGUGCGUUUCCAGUGGGUGUGUUGCUGUCUAGGGGCACUCGCGUGGCAAGACGCCCGUGGCUGGCUUCCAGCGCCCAAGAUUCAAGGAAGGGAAGGAGCCCUAGCGUUUCAUCCGGACCAGACCCAGCCCUCGGAGUCUAUUUUUUGCCUCCAGUUACCGGAUUUAUUGAAGUUGCCAGCGAAGUUGGUUUUAUUCCUUUACUUCUCUGCUCUCCGCCCCCGUCCACAUCCCCCAACCCUGUAUUAUUUCCUGUCCUAGCUGCGCUUUAAAGAUUCGGAACUUUUCACUCGUUCUAGCUACAGAUUUUAACUGUGUUCCGUGUGCGAGACGAAUUGUGGAGGGCACCCACCCACCCAUGCCAAGUGUAAAUGAAACCGCAAGAAAAGCUGCCUCCCACUCACCCAUCCAGUGUCCGAGUAAGCCUAAUGACACACAUUCACAUAACUAAGAAGACACGGGAAGAUAGGGGUGCGGAGGACGGAGUUUGAUGUGUGAAUGGGAAAUGGAGAGAGGGGACAGCGCGCGCGAGAGAAACAGCGCGAGCCUGAGCCUUAGAAUGGAAUAAACGGGAAACACACACAAGAAUGACGAUGCAAAAAAUGUAUCUAAGUCCCAACAUUGACAGCAGAGGGUCAGCUUUAAGCGCCUACAUUUUGAUCCGCGAAAUUUCCCAGCUUUUUUGGAGGCGGUUACAUAGAGAACACAGGAGCCUCUGCCUUGGCCGCCCAGAUGCUUUGCAUUUUGUAAACAGCUUUGACUAAGUGCUCUGGACUUCCAAGAAGUUAACUGGAGUGGAAGGCGAGUCAUAUUGUGGAUGCGGAAUGGAAGCUUAGACAAGAAAAAACUGUCAGCAGAGCGCCUCUGCUCUCACCGUCACACCCAAAUGAGCCAGGACGUCGCUCAGAGCGCAAACUGAGAUCCACACAGGGACAUCUUCAACCGAAUCUUUCUUCUGUCUCCAUUCCGGACUAAGGAAAGAAAGAAAGAAAUACGGAGCCUUUAUAGAGUAUUCAGAGGCUACACACAUGGAUCUUGCUGAAACGGAGUUAUUUAAAAACAGAGAAAGUGUGUUUUCCCAUGAGAUAGAUGUUAUAGUUUCUCUCUGAAACAUACCCAAGUCUAUGGGUGUCAAUAAUAGCCAUUUCAAAUGCCUCUCUGAGCCUUGCCAGCCCCAGAAGAGGCUGUGGGAAUGCUGCUUCCAGCUUCCCCUGUGCAGAACUCCGUUGUAAAUCCUUCUGAGUUUCCAAGGUGGCAGCAGAGCAUAGGGAUAGCUCCUCAAGCUCCAGCAUCAACAAGGAAGAUCACAUUUUAGGACAAAUACUCAUCUACCUGCAUUUAAACAUCCAUUUUCGUAUGUUACAAGAUGAUUAUGCGUGAACAAAAACAGAAGGUACAUACUGGCAGGAAACAAAAGCACGUUAAACCAUGGAGAUUUCCUCUUACAUAAACCUGCCAUUUGUUAAGCAGUUGCUGUCUGUUCCACAGGGAAGCUGGCAAAAACUUGAUACAAACAUUCUCCAACUGCACUGGGAGGAAUAAGUGAAGGUAACACCUUUUUAAGAAGGGCAUACAAAGAGAUAAAAGAUCUACCUAGGGACUUACUCAAACCUAGAUGCUACCAUUGUACAAAAUGUUACCAAGUCUACCUAUAUCUAACUAUAGUUCUGAUAAAGAGGGAAGUGAUGUUUUAAUUUGGGAAAACACACUUAAUCAAACAUGUAAAUGAGAUU